Molecule: long non-coding RNA, 886 nt
Filed under: Cairina moschata (Muscovy duck)
Lineage: Eukaryota; Metazoa; Chordata; Aves; Anseriformes; Anatidae
Description: domestica (muscovy Duck (domestic type)) lncRNA (ENSCMMG00000010362.1)
Source: RNAcentral
CGGAUGAGCCGAGCGGCGGAGGUGAUGGUCCAGCACGUGGAGAACCUGAAGCGGCACCACCUGCGGGAGCACGCCGAGCUGGAGGAGAUGAAGCGCCUGAUCCAGCAAAACUCCCGCAACCGGCAGCUGGCCGAGACCCAGGAUGACGCGGAGCCACGGCUGAGGCCUCACCCCCUGAUGCGAUCCUUCCAGCAGGCGUCUGCCCGCCGCAGAGUCAGCAUCGCCGUCAUCCCCAAGCAGCUCUUGCCAGGUGCCAGCACGGACGGCCGAGCGUCCCCCGCCAGCGAGCCGGAGGGGUCCCAGCGCCCGGCCAGCACCCAGAGGAGCGAGCUGGAGCCACCGGGCCGGGGCAGCACCGUGAGCGGGGAGCCGGCGGCUGAGGCGGAUGGCAAGGACACGAGCGCAGGGGGCGAGGAGCCGGAGCAGCUUGGGCUGAUGUCCAAGGGGUCCGCGGCGGAGCUGUGGCGGCCGUGGCUCUUCCUCCCGCAGCACUACUGGGUUCUGUUCUGGCUGCUUCUCCUCAGCGUCGCCUUCCUCCUCCUCCUCCGCGUCCUGGAGCUGCAGCGGCUGCAGCCCGCGGCGUCGCCCAAGGCCUAGCUGCAGCGGGGGGGAGGCAGCUGGGGGGCACCCGCUCUCCAUCACUGCUCCUGCCCCCCGCCACGAAACACAGAGACCCUAGAGAAAUAAAAUCGGAGGCAGAAUUGGGGAGUUUUUGGAUGGAGCAGGCGGCGAUGCCCUGUGCUAGGAGCUGAGGGGGGCUGGAGCCAGCUUGCGGGCACGAAGCUGCAGCAGCCCCCAGCCCUGCCAGGGGUUUCCUUGUUCUCCCGGCACGCUGAGGGCUAUGGGGAUGUGCCCACGUGUCCCCUUUUCCCUGGGGACACAAACC